RNAcentral lists this transfer RNA (66 nucleotides) under Eucinetus haemorrhoidalis. RNAcentral describes it as "tRNA-Ser". The record is from RNAcentral. Lineage: Eukaryota; Metazoa; Arthropoda; Insecta; Coleoptera; Eucinetidae.
GAAAUAUGAAUUUCAAGAAAAAGCUUCUAACUUUAUUCUUUAACGUUUAAGACCGUUAAUAUUUCU